Molecule: non-coding RNA, 99 nt
Organism: Armillaria borealis
Lineage: Eukaryota; Fungi; Basidiomycota; Agaricomycetes; Agaricales; Physalacriaceae
Source: the annotation of a GenBank genome assembly
GGGUCGAUGGCGUAGCUGGUUAUCGCAUCUGUCUAACAUCCUGAUACGGAGUAUAUCUAUGUUCACAGAAGGUCCUCAGUUCGAACCUGGGUCGACUCA